GUUAAGAUGGCAGAGCCCGGUUUUGCAAAAGGCCUAAGCCCUUUGUACAGAGGUUCAAGUCCUCUUCUUAACU
RNAcentral lists this transfer RNA (73 nucleotides) under Favonigobius gymnauchen (sharp-nosed sand goby). Its description in RNAcentral is "tRNA-Leu". It matches the Rfam family "tRNA". From Rfam's summary of the family: Transfer RNA (tRNA) molecules are approximately 80 nucleotides in length. Their secondary structure includes four short double-helical elements and three loops (D, anti-codon, and T loops). Further hydrogen bonds mediate the characteristic L-shaped molecular structure. tRNAs have two regions of fundamental functional importance: the anti-codon, which is responsible for specific mRNA codon recognition, and the 3' end, to which the tRNAs corresponding amino acid is attached (by aminoacyl-tRNA synthetases). tRNAs cope with the degeneracy of the genetic code in two manners: having more than one tRNA (with a specific anti-codon) for a particular amino acid; and 'wobble' base-pairing, i.e. permitting non-standard base-pairing at the 3rd anti-codon position. Lineage: Eukaryota; Metazoa; Chordata; Actinopteri; Gobiiformes; Gobiidae. The record is from RNAcentral.